RNAcentral lists this ribosomal RNA (252 nucleotides) under uncultured bacterium. RNAcentral's name for it is "partial 16S ribosomal RNA". It matches the Rfam family "Bacterial small subunit ribosomal RNA", at positions 524 to 776 of the family's 1533-position model. The record is from RNAcentral.
UACAGAGGGUGCGAGCGUUAAUCGGAAUUACUGGGCGUAAAGCGUGCGUAGACGGUAGCGUAAGUCAGAUGUGAAAGCCCCGGGCUCAACCUGGGAAUUGCAUUUGAGACUGCUCUGCUCGGGUGCGGAAGAGGGAAGCGGAAUUUCCGGUGUAGCGGUGAAAUGCGUAGAUAUCGGAGGAACACCGGUGGCGAAGGCGGCUUUCUGGCCUGAUUCUGACGCUGAGGAGCGAAAGCCAGGGUAGCGAACGGG